UACGUAGGGUGCGAGCGUUGUCCGGAAUUACUGGGCGUAAAGGGCGCGUAGGCGGCCAGCGCAAGUCAGUUGUGAAAUCUCCGGGCUUAACCCGGAAAGGUCAGCCGAUACUGCGGGGCUAGAGUGCAGAAGGGGCAACUGGAAUUCUCGGUGUAGCGGUGAAAUGCGUAGAUAUCGAGAGGAACACCUGCGGCGAAGGCGGGUUGCUGGGCUGACACUGACGCUGAUGCGCGAAAGCUAGGGGAGCGAACGGG
RNAcentral lists this ribosomal RNA (254 nucleotides) under uncultured bacterium. Its description in RNAcentral is "partial 16S ribosomal RNA". It matches the Rfam family "Bacterial small subunit ribosomal RNA", at positions 524 to 776 of the family's 1533-position model. The record is from RNAcentral.